This 72-nucleotide transfer RNA is filed under the name Stegodyphus mimosarum. It matches the Rfam family "tRNA". From Rfam's summary of the family: Transfer RNA (tRNA) molecules are approximately 80 nucleotides in length. The record is from Rfam by way of RNAcentral. Lineage: Eukaryota; Metazoa; Arthropoda; Arachnida; Araneae; Eresidae.
GGCUCGAUGGUCUACGGGUAUGAUUCUCGCUUCGGGUGCGAGAGGUCCCGAGUUCAAAUCCCGGCCGAGCCC